GAUGAACGCUAGCUACAGGCUUAACACAUGCAAGUCGAGGGGUAACAAGAGAAAAGCUUGCUUUUCUUGUUGACGACCGGCGCACGGGUGAGUAACGCGUAUCCAACCUGCCUAUAACUAGGGAAUACCCUUGCGAAAGUAAGACUAAUACCCUAUGAUUUCCUUUGACGACAUCAGAUUAGGUAUAAAGAUUUAUCGGUUACAGAUGGGGAUGCGUCUGAUUAGCUUGGUGGCGGGGUAACGGCCCACCAAGGCAACGAUGAGGAGGGGUGCUGAGAGGAAGGUCCCCCACAUUGGAACUGAGACGCGGUCCAAACUCCUACGGGAGGCAGCAGUGAGGAAUAUUGGUCAAUGGGCGGAAGCCUGAACCAGCCAAGUAGCGUGCAGGAUGACGGCCCUAUGGGUUGUAAACUGCUUUUAUACAGGAAUAAAGUUAGCCACGUGUGGUUAUUUGUAGGUACUGUAUGAAUAAGGACCGGCUAAUUCCGUGCCAGCAGCCGCGGUAA
This 506-nucleotide ribosomal RNA is filed under the name uncultured bacterium. RNAcentral's name for it is "partial 16S ribosomal RNA". It matches the Rfam family "Bacterial small subunit ribosomal RNA", at positions 28 to 523 of the family's 1533-position model. The record is from RNAcentral.